This 468-nucleotide ribosomal RNA is filed under the name uncultured bacterium. RNAcentral's name for it is "bacterial SSU rRNA". It matches the Rfam family "Bacterial small subunit ribosomal RNA", at positions 34 to 518 of the family's 1533-position model. The record is from RNAcentral.
CGCUGGCGGCACGCCUAACACAUGCAAGUCGAACGGAGAUUGAGAGCUUGCUCUUAAAUCUUAGUGGCGGACGGGUGAGUAACACGUGAGCAACCUGCCUCUGAGAGAGGGAUAGCUUCUGGAAACGGAUGGUAAUACCUCAUAACAUUACAUGACCGCAUGAUCGUGUAAUCAAAGAUUUAUCACUCAGAGAUGGGCUCGCGUCUGAUUAGCUAGUUGGUGAGGUAACGGCCCACCAAGGCGACGAUCAGUAGCCGGACUGAGAGGUUGAACGGCCACAUUGGGACUGAGACACGGCCCAGACUCCUACGGGAGGCAGCAGUGAGGGAUAUUACACAAUGGAGGAAACUCUGAUGCAGCGAUGCCGCGUGGAGGAAGAAGGUUUUCGGAUUGUAAACUCCUGUUUCGAGGGACGAUAAUGACGGUACCUCGGGAGGAAGCUCCGGCUAACUACGUGCCAGCCGCCGC